CGCUGUUUCAGUUCAGCCGUUCUUCCUUGUUUAGGAUCGAGUUACGGGUCUUGCAUGCUGAGUUCUAUGACUGUUGCAUGCGACAUCAAGCUGCUGCGUCGUCACCGGAGCUGCCACUGCUCUAUUCUCUGGCUUAUUUGAUUAUAUUUUGGUUCUUGCAUGCCUUUAUAAGAG
This is a non-coding RNA of Arachis ipaensis, 174 nucleotides long. The record is from RefSeq and is a predicted model, not a curated record. Lineage: Eukaryota; Viridiplantae; Streptophyta; Magnoliopsida; Fabales; Fabaceae.